This 429-nucleotide long non-coding RNA is filed under the name Vombatus ursinus (common wombat). RNAcentral describes it as "lncRNA (ENSVURG00010010851.1)". Lineage: Eukaryota; Metazoa; Chordata; Mammalia; Diprotodontia; Vombatidae. The record is from RNAcentral.
CCCCGCUCAUCCAUUCAGAAGCAUCACCUUGUCUUUCACUGUUUUCUUCUUUUUCCACUACAGAAGUUUCUAAGAAAGAAGGUAAAGGUGGCAAAGAUGCCAAGCAGAAAAGUAAAAAGUUCGGCAAGAAGUCAAGCCGGUUUACGCCAGCCAACUGCAUCCCUGUGGAAACGAGCAACUUUAAAUGUAUCCUUUUGACGCGUUGCCCGCUGGACAAACACCUCGCCCACGCGGCCGCUGUUUCCCUUAACUGGACGUCCUAGAUAUCGUGGACCCAUUUGAGGAAGCCAAGGCAAGCACAGAGUCCAUCACGCCUGUCUUCAAAAUGCGCGAGAUUCUGGACAAAUACCAUGACCCCUACACUGGUCGAUGGUCUGGAUUCCUGGGAAGUAAAAACUUUCCAAGGUUUGUGACUUGGGCUACUCUCUG